RNAcentral lists this ribosomal RNA (469 nucleotides) under uncultured Anaeromyxobacter sp. Its description in RNAcentral is "bacterial SSU rRNA". It matches the Rfam family "Bacterial small subunit ribosomal RNA", at positions 8 to 463 of the family's 1533-position model. Lineage: Bacteria; Pseudomonadati; Myxococcota; Myxococcia; Myxococcales; Anaeromyxobacteraceae. The record is from RNAcentral.
AGAGUUUGAUCCUGGCUCAGAACGAACGCUGGCGGCGUGCCUAACACAUGCAAGUCGAGCGAGAAAGCCCGCAAGGGUGAGUAAAGCGGCGCACGGGUGCGUAACACGUGGGUAAUCUGCCCUAGAGUCCGGAAUAACUCGCCGAAAGGCGUGCUAAUGCCGGAUGAGACCACGGGAGCUUCGGCUCCUGCGGGAAAAGGUGGCCUCUGUACACAAGCUAUCGCUCUAGGAUGAGCCCGCGGCCCAUCAGCUCGUUGGCGGGGUAAUGGCCCACCAAGGCAACGACGGGUAGCUGGUCUGAGAGGACGAUCAGCCACACUGGAACUGAGACACGGUCCAGACUCCUACGGGAGGCAGCAGUGGGGAAUCUUGCGCAAUGGGCGAAAGCCUGACGCAGCAACGCCGCGUGUGUGAUGAAGGUCUUCGGAUCGUAAAGCACUGUCGCGAGGGACGAAUAAGGGACGGGCGA